Molecule: ribosomal RNA, 492 nt
Filed under: uncultured bacterium
Lineage: Bacteria
Description: partial 16S ribosomal RNA
Rfam family: Bacterial small subunit ribosomal RNA (bases 56-492)
Source: RNAcentral
GGGGGGGGGGGGGGGGGGGGCGGGGGGGGGGGGGGGGGGGGGCGGCGGGGGGGGGGCGGGGUCUUACGGGUGGCGAGUGGCGGACGGGGGAGGGAGACAUGGGAGUCUACGGUUGCGUGGGGGAGAACGUAGGGAAACGUACGCUAAUACCGCAUACGACCUACGGGUGAAAGCCGGGGAUCUGCGGCACUUGCGCGAUGGCAUGAACCGAUGUCGGAUUAGCUAGUUGGCGGGGUAAAGGCCCACCAAGGCGACGAUCCGUAGCUGGUCUGCGCGGAUGAUCAGCCACACUGGAACUGAGACACGGUCCAGACUCCUACGGGAGGCAGCAGUGGGGAAUAUUGGACAAUGGGCGCAAGCCUGAUCCAGCCAUACCGCGUGGGUGAAGAAGGCCUUCGGGUUGUAAAGCCCUUUUGUUGGGAAAGAAAAGCAGCAGGUUAAUACCCCGCUGUUCUGACGGUACCCAAAGAAUAAGCACCGGCUAACUUCGUG